AUACGGAGGGGGUUAGCGUUGUUCGGAAUUACUGGGCGUAAAGCGCACGUAGGCGGAUUGGAAAGUUGGGGGUGAAAUCCCAGGGCUCAACCCUGGAACUGCCUCCAAAACUAACAGUCUAGAGUUCGAGAGAGGUGAGUGGAAUUCCAAGUGUAGAGGUGAAAUUCGUAGAUAUUUGGAGGAACACCAGUGGCGAAGGCGGCUCACUGGCUCGAUACUGACGCUGAGGUGCGAAAGCGUGGGGAGCAAACAGAAUUAGAAACCCUAGUAGUCC
This 274-nucleotide ribosomal RNA is filed under the name uncultured bacterium. RNAcentral describes it as "partial 16S ribosomal RNA". It matches the Rfam family "Bacterial small subunit ribosomal RNA", at positions 523 to 796 of the family's 1533-position model. The record is from RNAcentral.